This is a long non-coding RNA of Ornithodoros turicata, 639 nucleotides long. RefSeq lists it as uncharacterized. The transcript is spliced from 5 exons. The record is from RefSeq and is a predicted model, not a curated record. Lineage: Eukaryota; Metazoa; Arthropoda; Arachnida; Ixodida; Argasidae.
GCCUUCUAUUUCUAGUGGACCACAAGAUGGGACGAAGGAAAGCGUAAACUGCUCUUGGCGAUAUGCUGUGCCGCUUGUCUGCUUCUAUUCUUCGGCGCCCUGGCAACUGUCUUGAGCUCAAAGAAAGCCGAAGAUACGGGCGAUGACAGCACGGAGUCUGAAGAAUACUAUCCCCUGGUGCCCGAUGGUAAGGUCAGUCAGUCAACGCCGUCCUCUGCAAGUGAAGAGGCAACAACAAAAGUGACACGAAAGCCUCUGCCAUUUAGACCGUUGGUGUGCAGCUACAAGCGGGAUAUGAAAGUAGGGUACCCUUUCCCUCCCGACGGCCUCUGCGACUUCCUCUUUCACACAUUUGGAGUCUGUGACAAUGGCUUAAACUACAAGCAAUAUCACGAUGUCGUUGACGAGGACAGAGCUCUACUCGAUCAAUUUAAGGAGGCCGCCGCCAAGUCCAAGUUAACUUCGUACGGCAUUGAUAUAUACGACCACUUCGAUGUCACAACUAUCCCGUCGUUAAGAGCAAAGGAGGGCAAGGAUGCACUACGAGGACUCUGGGACUUCAAAAUAGUUCACUACGCCAUUUUGAAUUGCAUACUUUACAGUGCAGCUCAAACCUACUCCAAGGAUAUUGUCACGUUA